UUAAUAUAAAAUACGGUCUAUUAGUUUUUAACUAAAAAAGCUAAGAGACGUCUCUUAAAUAAGAAAUAUGAGAGACGUUUCUUAGCUUUUUUAGUUAAAAGAUAAAAGACUGUAUUUUAUAUUAC
This 125-nucleotide microRNA precursor is filed under the name Brassica napus (rape). RNAcentral describes it as "MIR9563 microRNA precursor family". It matches the Rfam family "MIR9563 microRNA precursor family". The record is from Rfam by way of RNAcentral. Lineage: Eukaryota; Viridiplantae; Streptophyta; Magnoliopsida; Brassicales; Brassicaceae.